GGUAGCGCAAUCACUUGUCUUUUAAAUAAAGACCUGUAUGAAUGGUGAAACGAGGGCUUAACUGUCUCCCUUUUCUAAUCAGUGAAAUUGAUCUACCCGUGCAGAAGCGGGUAUAAAUAUACAAGACGAGAAGACCCUAUGGAGCUUUAGACAUAAAGCCAUCUAUGUUAAAAACCCCUAAUAAAAGGAACAAAACAAAAUAGCAAUUGACUAAUGUCUUCGGUUGGGGCGACCACGGGGGAAAAUAAAUCCCCCAUGUGGAUUGGGACACUCUCCUAAAACCACGAGGUACACCUCUAAGUCACAGAACUUCUGACCAAGAGAUCCGGCACUUAGCCGAUCAACGAACCAAGUUACCCUAGGGAUAACAGCGCAAUCCCCUUCGAGAGUCCUUAUCGACAAGGGGGUUUACGACCUCGAUGUUGGAUCAGGACAUCCUAAUGGUGCAGCCGCUAUUAAGGGUUCGUUUGUUCAACGAUUAA
RNAcentral lists this ribosomal RNA (482 nucleotides) under Moenkhausia comma. RNAcentral describes it as "partial 16S large subunit ribosomal RNA". It matches the Rfam family "Bacterial large subunit ribosomal RNA", at positions 1955 to 2591 of the family's 2925-position model. The record is from RNAcentral. Lineage: Eukaryota; Metazoa; Chordata; Actinopteri; Characiformes; Acestrorhamphidae.